This 73-nucleotide transfer RNA is filed under the name Bacteroidota bacterium. RNAcentral describes it as "Bacteroidetes bacterium (activated sludge metagenome) tRNA-His". It matches the Rfam family "tRNA". From Rfam's summary of the family: Transfer RNA (tRNA) molecules are approximately 80 nucleotides in length. Their secondary structure includes four short double-helical elements and three loops (D, anti-codon, and T loops). Further hydrogen bonds mediate the characteristic L-shaped molecular structure. tRNAs have two regions of fundamental functional importance: the anti-codon, which is responsible for specific mRNA codon recognition, and the 3' end, to which the tRNAs corresponding amino acid is attached (by aminoacyl-tRNA synthetases). tRNAs cope with the degeneracy of the genetic code in two manners: having more than one tRNA (with a specific anti-codon) for a particular amino acid; and 'wobble' base-pairing, i.e. permitting non-standard base-pairing at the 3rd anti-codon position. The record is from RNAcentral. Lineage: Bacteria; Pseudomonadati; Bacteroidota.
GAGGCCAUAGCUUAACUGGUAGAGCGCCAGAUUGUGGCUCUGGUAAGUGCGGGUUCGAUUCCCGUUGGCCUCC